Molecule: long non-coding RNA, 455 nt
Organism: Cygnus atratus (black swan)
Lineage: Eukaryota; Metazoa; Chordata; Aves; Anseriformes; Anatidae
Exons: 4
Source: RefSeq, a predicted model, not a curated record
CAUCAGGUCUCUUCACUGCUCUGAUUGCCAGAAGCCUGUCUGGACUGUGUCCAGAUAUACAUUCUCAAUCACAGAAGAUUAAAGAAGCAAGUACAGGAAAUGAUGUGUACUGUUUCAUAUUGUCUAUUCUGCGUCUAUGUAGACAGGUCAGCAAUGCUAAUGAGCAAAACAAAGUAAAUUUAUGUUCCUGAAGCUGUGGGCCCUCUCCUGACAACCUAUCCUCAAGAGUUCAUUUAUUACCAUGUGGUAAGAAGCAGACCUUGGACUGCCUGACACGAUGAACAAAGAGGAAUCUAAGGCAUGGAGACUACUAGAGAAAGGAAGAUGGUUUAGAAGGGGAGGCAGGAGCCAGAGUGAAUUCCCAUCACGUUCCUACACAUGGAACAAGAUCAGACACAGUUGAUCCACCUGAAGACCAACUGCGUAAAAAAUUGUCGUUCAGCUGUAGCUGUUGU